UGCAGUGGGGUGGGGGUCCUUGGGCAGGACAGAGAACCCUGGGAACCUGUGCAGUGGGAUGGGGUUCUUGGGCAGGACAGAGAACCCUAGGAACCUGUGCAGUGGGGUGGGGUCUUUGGGCAGGACAUGUGAGUGCCAGAGCAGGAACCUUAUUUUCCAUUGGUGUGCUGGAGAGUAAGGCUGCCCUCCAUGGGGACCUAGGCAAGCUGGAGACCUGGUUUGAUGGGAACUUGGGGGACAUGGAGAGAUGCCAGGGAAAGGAGCUGGGGAAGGAGCCUGCUGUGCAGUAUGGCUGACUGGCCAGCACCAGCAGGAGCCCUGUGGGAAAGGGCCUGGGCAGGCAGGGGACACCCAGAUCUGUGGUGGACAAAGGGAGCUCGGGUGUGCAGUGUGCCCUGGCGGCAGCAGAACCGGGCUGCAUUCAGUGCUGUGGUACCAGAGCCACAGGCAGCAGCUUAAGGCAUGUGACAGCCCCUCUGCACAGCUUCACCUGGAGGAACGUGUUCCAGCCUGGGGCUUCUGGUGAGAGAGAGACCAACAAAUGGGAACAAGUCUGGGAGAAGGUCAAAAGGUGGUCAAAAAAUGAGCAUAUCGUGUUCAGGGAAGUGAGGUGGGUCUGUUGAGCCCAGAGAAGGUCACUGUCCUCAAGUGCCUCACAGGGAAGAGAGAUUGAUGUUUCUCAGAGAAGCACCAUGAGAAGAUGAGAGUAGGCAGCCAGGAGAUGCAGGAAAGUAUAUUGUGAACAUACAGAUGAAAGAAAGUUUUGAAGUGAUAGUGGGUAAUGCCUGCAUUGUGGGUGCCAUGCCUGGAAGGUUAUUGCAAUAUCCACCCUUGAGUAGUAGUGGAGUAGGUGCCCUCCAGAAGACCUGUCAUGUUAAAUGAAUCAAUAAUUCUAAAAGAUAAUAAAGUCUGAAAAAUCAAAAGUAAUCAUAUUAUUACAGGGCAGUUAACAGCUGAUGGAUUUACAGCAGUAAAUGCUGACAGAUGAUUCACAACACAGUGGGCACCUGCUAUGCCUGAAAAAAUGAAGACAAACAUCUUGCCUGCUGAAGAAGGAGAACCGGAAGGAGGAUUUACCUGAAAAGGAAAGAUGAACAGUGAUGCCAUUCUCCUCAAACAGCUGAGUGUCCUGGCCACGGCUUUUGGAAAUCUUGGAUGCUUGGCUUCUCUGAUCUUUGGCACUUAUCCUGCAGCUCAUGACUCUGAUGCAGUCAGCCCACAGGCAGGGCUGCCUUGGUGUGGUACAACCUGGAGCCAUACAUUAGCUGAUCUCUAUGAAGUAUGGACAGAUCUCGUGGGAGUUCCAAUGGCUGGUUGAAAAGCCUUUAAGGCCAGACACAAGAAGAAUGACUUCUUCUAGGCUUGUUAAUGAGGACUGUAAAUCCAGGCAGACUUUGGAAUGACUCCUAGGAAAACAAAGAUUAACUGCUGUGAAUGUUCCAAACUCCAUGUUCUGCCCCAUGAGAAGCAGAGAAAUGCCAUGCAUUUUCAGUUGUCAUCUGAGAGGGAUCCUACACACUGGCUCUGGGAAGGAAACUGCCUUUGGUUAGAGCAACUUGUGUCUGGACUCAAAUGGACACUUUACAGAACAGAGGUAUCCAAAGACAGGGUGCAAGCAGAAGAAAGCAUCAUGGAGCUGCAAAUAUGGUUCCAGCAGAAUAUUAGGUGCUUUGUACAGGAGUCAUUCAAAAUGUCAUUGACUAUCAGCUCUCUCUCUCUCUGUGUUACUUCCACAGUCAUGUCUUCUCAGAGCUGCCAUGCCUCGUGUGAUAACUAGUAUGGGAGAUGUGGAAGCAAAUAACAAGCAAGGCAGCAAGGUAAAUCAUUCCAGGUGGAGGAUUUCCAGCCCACCAGGUGCAAGGCUGUGCCUGGCAGCACCUCCCUUGCCCAGGGGCAAGUGGAGCAAGAGGGAAGGCGUAUUACAGACCUGAGGGGAGCUGCACAGGAUGGCCAGUGUCUCAUCUGUGUGACCAGUGCCACCAUGAGUUGGUGUCCAGUAGAAGUGUAUGGGGGUUUUGUUUGUUUUUCUUUGAAGGCUGAUUUUUCUAGAAGAGCAAGGGCUGAAGCUGGAAGCAGUAACUCUGUUGUGAGAGCACUGCUCUGCCUUGUAACAAAGGCUCUGUUGUGCUGGCACACAGCACAGUGCCCAAAGCUCAGGAUGUUUUCAGCCUAUUUGCUUUCAUUUGUAUUUGAGUUAAUCUGGCACAGCUGCUGGAGAAUAACACCAUAUAUUAAGGGUCAUUUUAAUCAAAUGGAUCCUUGAUACUCUGAUUUCUUCCUACUGGCAGUUUGCAUGGAAAAGGCAAUUAACUACAACUCUAAACUGAUGGCAUGACCUUAAAAAAUAUUAAUUAUGUCAGAGUCUGUCCUGGCCACUCAUUCAAAAAUCGGAGCAUGGAAAACAAAAGUCAGAAAACCUGUUGCAAUAUUUUUAUAUUUAAACUAGCAUAUCUCCAACCAGAGUACAAAAAUGAGUGACUUUUGGGUAAUUCUCUCUUAUGGAAGGCACUGCAAGAAUUCUGUCCCUCCUCUGCAGGAGAAGCCUUGUUCUGUCUUUGAGAAAAGAUUCCAUUUGAGACCAGAAAAAUUGAGAAAUAGGGUCUAUAUCCUUUUGGACUGAGUUCCUUUCCCUCUCCCUCUUCUUCUCUCUCUCCCACUCCUCUCCUCUCCCAAAAGUAGCCACAAGAAAAUUUAUUAGGAUUAAUGAGUUUAUGUGUACUGAAAAUUAGAGAUCUACAAGGCAAAGCAAAACCACUCAAUUUAUAGUAUAGGCUAUGUGAUAGGAAUGGUUCACAGAGUGUAAUAAGUGCACUAUGGAGGAUCUUAGAUGUGUGAAAUAAGAAAGAGAAAUUAAUGUAUGACAAUCAACUGUAGUUUUUCCUUUGUUUAUUUUUGUCUUGCUCCUUUUAAAGAUAUGUGUGCCAGAGAGUCCCACUGAGCUUUCACAUGUGUCAGGCAUCAGAUGACCUACCUAGUGUUCUGAAUUACUAUUUGUCCUUCAGUCAGAG
Molecule: non-coding RNA, 3008 nt
Organism: Lonchura striata (white-rumped munia)
Lineage: Eukaryota; Metazoa; Chordata; Aves; Passeriformes; Estrildidae
Source: RefSeq, a predicted model, not a curated record